UUGGUGGCGCCGAUGAGGGACUGUAUAAUUGCGGGGAUUUGGCCCGCAAGUUUCUACCGGGUAACCUUGAAUUACCCUGCUACAGCCCGAAAGUGUACCUAG
This 102-nucleotide non-coding RNA is filed under the name Clostridiales bacterium PH28_bin88. RNAcentral's name for it is "Purine riboswitch aptamer". It matches the Rfam family "Purine riboswitch aptamer". Rfam says of the family: Riboswitches are metabolite binding domains within certain messenger RNAs that serve as precision sensors for their corresponding targets. Allosteric rearrangement of mRNA structure is mediated by ligand binding, and this results in modulation of gene expression. Lineage: Bacteria; Bacillati; Bacillota; Clostridia; Eubacteriales. The record is from Rfam by way of RNAcentral. RNAcentral also lists the same sequence under 1 other name.